GCUCAAUACUUCUCUACCGAGCCACCCAGUCCAGCACUACUGAAUGCCUGCGAGAGUUCUCUGUUGGAGAGUUCAGGAAUGAGCAGUUUUAAAAGUCAUGGAAAAGGAAGAGAGCAUAUUUUCCAAAACUUCAGGAUUCUGUGAACUCAAGGACAGAGGAAAUAUUAAACUAGUCGAAACCUUUCUUCUCCAUCCCCUGAACAGAAAUUCUGGUAAUGUAUCAUACAACAAAAUCCUUUGGAACGCCAGAAUGUGGACUUCACUUGAAGACCUAUGGAGAAAAUGGCUUAAGGCAAUGAAGCAAAUGUGCCUCCAUAGGCACAUAGGUGCAAAACAGGUGGUAAAGAAAUCAGUCAUGGACUCUUGCUAUGAAUUACAGCAUCAUUCAGAAUUUAUCAAAACUUCACAUGGAUAUCAUAUGUACUCUUCCAUGGCAAUCAGUUAUAGUAAGAGUAUAGAGUUACUCAUUUCCUGGCUGCACUGAUAACAUGCAGAUAUUCUCAUGACAUAGGAUUUGCUACUGGACACAAGGCUUUGAAAAGACUUUAAAUGCAAUUCUAAAUGCAUUACGUGUGGACACCAUUCUGCAUAUUUAAACUUACUUGGUUAAUUAAUUAAAUAGUUAAUAAAGGCUAGAGUUCAGUUUUCA
RNAcentral lists this long non-coding RNA (649 nucleotides) under Apteryx rowi (Okarito brown kiwi). Its description in RNAcentral is "lncRNA (ENSARWG00000015360.1)". The record is from RNAcentral. Lineage: Eukaryota; Metazoa; Chordata; Aves; Apterygiformes; Apterygidae.